UGCUAAGCUGUCCUAGCAUGUGGCCAAGC
RNAcentral lists this non-coding RNA (29 nucleotides) under Homo sapiens (human). Lineage: Eukaryota; Metazoa; Chordata; Mammalia; Primates; Hominidae. The record is from RNAcentral.